RNAcentral lists this ribosomal RNA (134 nucleotides) under Jaculus jaculus (lesser Egyptian jerboa). The record is from RNAcentral. Lineage: Eukaryota; Metazoa; Chordata; Mammalia; Rodentia; Dipodidae.
GUCUACGGCCAUACCACCCUGAACGUGCCCGAUCUCGUCUGAUCUCGGAAGCUAAGCAGGGUCGGGCCUGGUUAGUACUUGGAUGGGAGAAUCUGAGUCAGUUGUCACAGAGGAAAGAACAGAUUAGCGAGACA